CCUACGGGAGGCAGCAGUGAGGAAUAUUGGUCAAUGGGCGUGAGCCUGAACCAGCCAAGUCGCGUGAGGGAUGAAUGUUCUAUGGAUCGUAAACCUCUUUUAUAAGGGAAUAAAAUGUGGGACGUGUCCCAUUUUGUAUGUACCUUAUGAAUAAGGAUCGGCUAACUCCGUGCCAGCAGCCGCGGUAAUACGGAGGAUCCGAGCGUUAUCCGGAUUUAUUGGGUUUAAAGGGUGCGUAGGCGGGCUUUUAAGUCAGCGGUGAAAGUCUGUGGCUCAACCAUAGAAUUGCGGUUGAAACUGGGGGUCUGGAGUAUGGUUGAGGUAGGCGGAAUGCGUGGUGUAGCGGUGAUAUGCUUAGAUAUCACGCAGAACCCCGAUUGCGAAGGCAGCUUGCCAAGCCAUGACUGACGCUGAUGCACGAAAGCGUGGGGAUCAAACAGGAUUAGAUACCCCUGUAGUC
RNAcentral lists this ribosomal RNA (460 nucleotides) under uncultured bacterium. RNAcentral's name for it is "partial 16S ribosomal RNA". It matches the Rfam family "Bacterial small subunit ribosomal RNA", at positions 338 to 795 of the family's 1533-position model. The record is from RNAcentral.